CUUGUUUUCUUGUAGUGCCUGCAAGCUUGAACGAUGUUUGAGGUGAUUAAUCAGUCUGUAGAUACAGUGCAAUUUGCUGUAAUUGCGCACAUCUGUUCUCCAGGACUGUUGCUGUGGAGUUUAAAUGCAGAGAAAAGCCAUCAAUCAUCACAUAUCAGGGGUUCUUCUUGGUGGCAGUGGAAAUUCGGGCUAUAACAUCAAGUACUGUUUUCUUGUCCAUUUCAAUGCUGUCUAAGCGCUCUGAAGAGCUGGAGUCUUGAUGUGGAGAGAGUCGGAUGGCAGGACCGAAGCCAGUGUGGUUUCUGCGGCAGACCUACUCUGACAGGCUUUUCAAAGUUUUUAAUAAUUCUUGUGCCGUCCAUGAUGGUGAAAUUGUGGCGGGCCUUCUCUCCUCAACUGUUGCCUGCCAUGACUGUGAGGUUCAUUCCAUCCUGAUUAUAAUUGCUUUCAUCUUGUAUCGUGACUGUUUUCAAUUCUUCAGGGCCCUGUCAACUCAGCAAGGUUCACAGAGGUUGCUGUGGUUUAGCUGACAAAAGGACUGAAGAGGAACAGGAAGACAGUUUUUGCCUUGCAGUACCUUGGAAAGAAUCAGUCUGAAGAAACAUAUGUUAGGUGAUGAAAUGGGAGUCUCUCCAGUUUGAGAAGGUGACCUUUUAAAGUGCAUUUUGAACUAUUGUAAAACAUUCUCUGAGAUGAACAAUGCGCUAAUAAAUUGCAUUAUGCCAUCUCAAGCAAAAUAUUUAAUGCAUUUUACAUAUCCACCUUUCAAAUAUCAGUUGUUUAAUUCAUAACAUGGGUAGAUAUUUUAAUAUUAUUUAUAAUUAUAUUUAACAAUGAUGGUGUUAUUUAUUUAAUUUUUUUUUCUUAAAUUUUUUUAUAUUUCCGAAAUAAUUUAAGAUAAAAAAUAUGAUGGUAACAGGGUUGAUGUUCUAGGAUUGUCUUACCAACAAACUAAAAGCUAUAAGAUGGUAUUAUGGCGUCAUUAUGGUAAGUUUUUCAGUUUAAAGAACAGAUAAAAAUGUCAUGGUAAAAGGGUUGAUGUUUUCAUUUUGUCUUAAAGACAAACUUAAAAACUUCUAAAGAGUUCACUUAUUAUUAUUAUUAUUAUUAUUAUUAUUAUUAUUAUUAUUAUUAUUAUUGUUUAAUAUUGUCUUACCAACAACAAACUUACCAAAAUAAAAAAUACAGGAUGAAGAUACUUUCUUGAAUUCCCUUCUUGAUGUUGUUUUCACCAUCAAGGGUUGACAUAACCUAGUAACACACAACUUCAAGUCUUUAAAUCUAUUAAGUGUCUUCAAGUUUAAUAAUACAUUGUCAAAUAUAGAGAGUAAAUAGGGACAAAAUGUAUUUUGUUUUCUUGAACAAAAAAUGUGAAUAUUAUCUAAACACAGGGGUGAGAACAGGCCAAAAAUAUUUCAAAAUAAAAAUAAGAGAAAUCAACAAAAAUUUACAUUUUGCCUAGAUUUAUUUAAGGGACAUACACACUCUCAGUACCUAUUCUGUAACUCAAAUUUCUUGAUGGAUAUGUCUUCAGUAGCAACAUGAAGGAUUCUGUUGGAGAGAUUUGCUUUGGGUCCUUGUAGUCUUACAAUAUAUUCUAUGUUGUCCCAGAUUUUCUCCAUCUCUGUACAUGCUGUUCCUGAGAGACGUGUCAUGUUGAAGAUUUGCUUACUGAGUUUGAUGUCUUGUGAUAGGAUCUGGUCUGUUCAUUACAACAGUCCCUCAUGAGACGGACAGGACGAGUGAAAAACAUCUCCCUUCACAAACGCAUGUGUAGUUACGCACCAACUUUGGUGUGCUUCAUGAAAACCUAUAGAUCACAACAUUUGGACAAAGAAAAGAAUAAACAUGGCUACGCUGGAAUGGCUGUAAAUGGGAAAACAUGCUUUUUAGGUCCAAAUGAUGUGGUUAAAACCUUAAUCUGUUGUCUGGAACUGCAUCUAAUAUAGUGGUAAAGCGACAUGGAGUCUAUCAUAAUUUGUUCCAUUGAUUCAUGCUUAUGGUGGCAUGAAGACAGUCAAGUUGGCCAAAUGUGUCAGCUCUUCCUGAGAGAGUCGCCAUUAAUCUGGUGCACAGACAGAUGUCAGUGAAGCACCAGGAUCAUUUGAAAUCAAAGAUGACAUUCAUAGCAACACUGAAACAAAGGCGCUUUAAUGUUAAGGGACUUUACCCUUCACUUUCAAUUGAGUAAUUCUCUCGCUGUACGUUUGGAUGAAGGGCUGAUGGAGGGUUAAAUGAAUCAGAUUGGCCAGUAUACAUCAACAAACCAUUUUCCCUUCACACCUCAGUGCUACUGGCCUCAUAAAUUGAGACUUUGAAUUCUCCACACAUGGCUUUUUGCUUGCCAGUAGUCAAUAUGACUAUGACAUGUCUGAAAUGAGAUCCUUCAUUGAACAGUUUGAGAGUCCAUGCGUCCUGCCAAACUCAAAGCUUGAUGGUCUGAUCCCCUCACGCUCUCACUUAGUUUUCUUUGUUGUUGUUGUUGUUUUUGUUUUGUUUUGUUUUUUGACUGGAGAGUGGUGACAAGGUUCGCAUAUGCUCUCUAAUGGGAUAUGAACAUCGCAUUACUCUCCAGUGCAAUACUUGCACGUUGC
Long non-coding RNA from Cyprinus carpio carpio, 2594 nucleotides. NCBI's taxonomy places the organism in Eukaryota, Metazoa, Chordata, Actinopteri, Cypriniformes, Cyprinidae. The record is from Ensembl.